UCUGAUGAUGGAGGUGAAGACAC
RNAcentral lists this non-coding RNA (23 nucleotides) under Arabidopsis thaliana (thale cress). The record is from RNAcentral. Lineage: Eukaryota; Viridiplantae; Streptophyta; Magnoliopsida; Brassicales; Brassicaceae.